GCUUGUCUCAAAGAUUAAGCCAUGCAUGUCUCAGUAUAAGCUUCUAUACGGCGAAACUGCGAAUGGCUCAUUAAAACAGUUAUAGUUUAUUUGGUGGUCAACUCUUACAUGGAUAACCGUGGUAAUUCUAGAGCUAAUACAUGCGCCCAAACCCAACUUCUUGGAAGGGUUGUGUUUAUUAGAUACAAAACCAACAUCUCGUUGGUGAUUCAUAAUAACCAAGCGAAUCGUCGGUUUACCGACGAUAGAUCGUUCAAGUUUCUGACCUAUCAGCUUUGGUCGGUAGGGUAUUGGCCUACCGAGGCAAUGACGGGUAACGGAGAAUUAGGGUUCGAUUCCGGAGAGGGAGCCUGAGAAACGGCUACCACAUCUAAGGAAGGCAGCAGG
This 387-nucleotide ribosomal RNA is filed under the name uncultured Prorocentrum. RNAcentral's name for it is "partial small subunit ribosomal RNA". It matches the Rfam family "Eukaryotic small subunit ribosomal RNA", at positions 30 to 432 of the family's 1831-position model. Lineage: Eukaryota; Dinophyceae; Prorocentrales; Prorocentraceae. The record is from RNAcentral.